This 432-nucleotide unclassified non-coding RNA is filed under the name Aloysia salsoloides. Its description in RNAcentral is "Acantholippia salsoloides partial external transcribed spacer". The record is from RNAcentral. Lineage: Eukaryota; Viridiplantae; Streptophyta; Magnoliopsida; Lamiales; Verbenaceae.
ACGCCGAUCGCCGCAUGAGCCGAGCUAAAAACUCGGCCAAAACGGGAACGGACGUCGUCCGCAUGAAGCGUAGAACGCUCUUAUUUUCGGGGCAAAUAGAGGUCAGGGACCUCGUACCGCGUCGGUCUUCCGCAUCCGAGAGAUCGAGCAUAACGACAUGGGCCAAGAACCGGCAAGCGCACGGAUCGUGGAACACGGCGAAUGCUUCAUUGUCCACCCUAUACCGAAUCCCCGAAGGGCGCAGCACAAGGAGGAAGAGGGACAUUCGGACUACAACAUGCCUUCUCAACAGGUAUACAACACAGGAAACCAACGUCGGUCAAGGCAAUCCGCAACUUGAACCAACAAUUGAAGAGGCGUGCACGAGAUGCCGUCGCUGCCCGAGCAGGGAACCGACAUGCCCUUACAAGCCAUUCACCACUCACGCGCUCU